This is a long non-coding RNA of Neofelis nebulosa (Clouded leopard), 916 nucleotides long. RefSeq lists it as uncharacterized. The record is from RefSeq and is a predicted model, not a curated record. Lineage: Eukaryota; Metazoa; Chordata; Mammalia; Carnivora; Felidae. The transcript is spliced from 2 exons.
ACACUUAUUUAGCCCUUUAGAGCAUGACAGUAGUGACAAACUAAAAUAGUUUUUCAUUCCUGCUAGAAGAAAUACUAUAAAUGAAUACUGGCAUAUACUUGCAAAGAAAUAUAAAAAGAUCUAAAUUUAAAAUUAUCUUCAGGGGCGCCUGGGGGGUUCAUUGGUGUAUUUUGUUACUCAAGAGGGGAUCAAGCAAUAGUUUCAAAUGAUGUAGUGUUCAUAAUAGAUAAAGAAAAUGACUAAAAAGAGUAUUGUAACAGCAGUAUUAAAAAAUACCCUAAAGAAAACUAAUGCUGCCAACUCAACCAUCAUCUGUAUAACUGUCUAAUUUUUUUCCUAUUUCCACGUACAUCUAUUUGUAAACAUUUCAAUCAUAAUAUAGUUUGCUUUUCACUUAAUAUAUUUUAAACAUUUUCCUUUGUUACUUUUAUAAGGGUGUUGGGGAAUAGAUUUUGGGGGGUGGGAUGGAAAAUAGACUUAAAAUCUGUAAAUCAAAUACUAAACUUAUUUUGAUGACACGGAGUGAGUGGAUACUUGUAAAAUUGGAGUUGGGAGCCAUUUUGUAAAACAUCCAGGCAAUAAACAAAAGGGCAGGAAAUGACAUUCUUCUUCCAGUUCUACUCCCUGUUUAGUCGGUUUAUAGUUUGGUGGCUUUCUAGAGACUGGUAAUGGAUCUUGUUAUAGCAUGUGAUAAAAUGUCAUGAACAAAUAAGAUCCUGUCUGGUAAUUAAAAAAAAAAACCCCACAAAUGUAUUUUUAUCUAAAAUACUUGCAAAUUCUUGUUUUACUUUUUUAACACAUGAUACGAGCAAAUAAAACUGUUACAUUACCACCGUAACUACUGUAAAGUUGUAAAGUGUCUGUCUCCAAAAAGGUCAAUCAAUAAAUAUUUUUAAAUAAAUCAAUGAAAUCCUCA